Molecule: long non-coding RNA, 1269 nt
Filed under: Apteryx haastii (Great spotted kiwi)
Lineage: Eukaryota; Metazoa; Chordata; Aves; Apterygiformes; Apterygidae
Description: lncRNA (ENSAHAG00000014006.1)
Source: RNAcentral
GGCACGAGGCGCUCACGCGCCGCGAGCUCCCUCCCGGCGCCUGCGCUGCGCGCUUCCCCCGGCAGCGGCGGUCUCCCGGCUGAGCAGGGGCCUCCUUCCUUGGGGGCUAAUUUAAAAGGCAGCCUCUUUCCCUCCCGAUGGGCUCUUCUGUCACGCUCCGCACUUUUAAAGUCCCCUCCGAGCACACUGGUCCGCCGUCCCGUGCGACCGUUGUUUUUCCACACGCGGCCAACGGCCCUGCGGGGAAAUAACGGCGCCCGCAGGCGGCAACCGACACUGGCUGCCCCUCACCGCCGUCCCGCACCGGGGGCAGCAGGGCAGGAAACCCCCCCGCCCCCCUGCGCUCCGCUCCGGCCCCUCCUGCGGUGCCCGGCGGUGCCCGCCCCCCCGCCGCGCCGGGGCGCGGCUGGCGGUGGGCCAGCGCCGCUGAGGGUAUUAAUAGGCGGCCUUGAGCAAGCGGCGCCUCGCGGGCAGGGCUGGGCGGUUGUGGGCGAAAGCUCAGGCUCCGCGCGGUGCCCGCUCCAGCGCAGGACGAGCUCGGCGCGGGAGCGGCCGCGGCGGGGAGGUGCUUCGCUUCGCUUCGCUUCCCUUCCCUUCCCUUCCCUUCCCCUCUGCUCCGGUCUGCACCGGGCGCCGUCUGCGAGCGGCGGCGGCGGCGGCGGCGGCGGCUCCCACUGCGAAGGCGAGAUGGAGGGUAACCGCUGCGGGCACAGCCGCCUGCUCGCUCUCUCCUCCUCGUUUGAGCGCCGGGAGGGGUGGGCACCCGGGCGACCACCGCGCCGCGGGCUCCCGCGGAGGGAGGCAGGGAGGGAGGAGGCGGUGUCUCGCCCGCUCCGUGCCCCGGCAGGGCCCCUCGCCUCUCCCCCCGCCGCCUCGGGGCUUGCGCUGGCCCUGCGGCCUGGCCCCAGCCACGGGCGCCUGCCGCGGCGCCGGGAGCAGCGGCGGCCUCGCGGCGGGGAAGGGAGGCCGGGCCGGCUCGCCGCUGCGGGCCGAGAAGGUGCGGGCUGCCUUCCCGAAGGGUCAGCGGCUCCCGCAGCAACGUACGGAGAUGAGCGGACAGGCUGCCUGUUGAAUCUCUUGCCCUAUAUCCUUAUAUAUCCUCCUUUCGUUGAAGUGCAGCAGUGUUGUAUCCAGAAUGCUUUAAUACGGUAUAGCACUUGCAACAGUUACUGUAAAAAAGCAUUGUGGUACAGUAUUUUUGUUGAAAUAAAUGAUCAUUUAUUGAGUGGUGCCUUUUUUUUCUUUUUUCCCCCUCAGGCACCAGAAUAA